This 495-nucleotide ribosomal RNA is filed under the name uncultured bacterium. RNAcentral describes it as "partial 16S ribosomal RNA". It matches the Rfam family "Bacterial small subunit ribosomal RNA", at positions 28 to 507 of the family's 1533-position model. The record is from RNAcentral.
GACGAACGCUGGCGGCGUGCCUAAUACAUGCAAGUAGAACGCUGAAGGAGGAGCUUGCUUCUCUGGAUGAGUUGCGGACGGGUGAGUAACGCGUAGGUAACCUGCCUGGUAGCGGGGGAUAACUAUUGGAAACGAUAGCUAAUACCGCAUAACAGUAGAUAUCGCAUGAUAUCUACUUGAAAGGUGCAAUUGCAUCACUACCAGAUGGACCUGCGUUGUAUUAGCUAGUUGGUGAGGUAACGGCUCACCAAGGCGACGAUACAUAGCCGACCUGAGAGGGUGAUCGGCCACACUGGGACUGAGACACGGCCCAGACUCCUACGGGAGGCAGCAGUAGGGAAUCUUCGGCAAUGGACGGAAGUCUGACCGAGCAACGCCGCGUGAGUGAAGAAGGUUUUCGGAUCGUAAAGCUCUGUUGUAAGAGAAGAACGAGUGUGAGAGUGGAAAGUUCACACUGUGACGGUAUCUUACCAGAAAGGGACGGCUAACUACGUG